This 371-nucleotide ribosomal RNA is filed under the name uncultured bacterium. Its description in RNAcentral is "bacterial SSU rRNA". It matches the Rfam family "Bacterial small subunit ribosomal RNA", at positions 335 to 700 of the family's 1533-position model. The record is from RNAcentral.
ACUCCUACGGGAGGCAGCAGUGGGGAAUAUUGCACAAUGGGGAAACCCUGAUGCAGCCAUGCCGCGUGUGUGAAGAAGGCCUUCGGUUGUAAGCACUUCAGUAGGGAGGAAGGUAGUGCAGUUAACACCUGCAUUAUUUGUACGUUACCUACAGAAGAAGCACCGGCUAACUCCGUGCCAGCAGCCGCGGUAAUACGGAGGGUGCGAGCGUUAAUCGGAAUUACUGGGCGUAAAGCGCAUGCAGGCGGCCUGUUAAGUCAGAUGUGAAAGCCCGGGGGCUUAACCUCGGAAUUGCAUUUGAAACUGGCAGGCUAGAGUCUUGUAGAGGGGGUAGGAAUUUCAGGUGUAGCGGUGAAAUGCGUAGAGAUCUG